RNAcentral lists this ribosomal RNA (511 nucleotides) under uncultured bacterium. Its description in RNAcentral is "bacterial SSU rRNA". It matches the Rfam family "Bacterial small subunit ribosomal RNA", at positions 29 to 518 of the family's 1533-position model. The record is from RNAcentral.
AUGAACGCUGGCGGCGUGCUUAAUACAUGCAAGUCGAACGGACAAUGUCAGAUAGCUUGCUAUCUGAUUGAGUUAGUGGCGAACGGGUGAGUAAUACGUAGGCAACCUACCCCAAAGCGGGGGAUAGCAGUUGGAAACGACUAUUAAUACCGCAUAGGUAUUCAGGAGGCAUCUCCUGAAUAUUAAAGGUGCGUUUGCACCGCUGUGGGAUGGGCUUACGCUGUAUUAGCUUGUUGGCGAGGUAACGGCCCACCAAGGCGAUGAUACAUAGCCGGUCUGAGAGGAUGAACGGCCACAUUGGGACUGAGACACGGCCCAGACUCCUACGGGAGGCAGCAGUAAGGAAUUUUCGGCAAUGGGGGAAACCCUGACCGAGCAACGCCGCGUGAGUGAUGAAGGCCCUUCGGGUCGUAAAGCUCUGUGGUAGAGGAAGAAUACCUUGGAUAGGAAAUGAUUCAGGGCUGACGGUACUCUGCUAGAAAGUCACGGCUUACUACGUGCCAGCCGCUGC